RNAcentral lists this small RNA (76 nucleotides) under Cervus elaphus hippelaphus. Lineage: Eukaryota; Metazoa; Chordata; Mammalia; Artiodactyla; Cervidae. The record is from RNAcentral.
GAACACAGUGAUGUAUGCCUAUAAUCAUAACUGCUGAGGAGGCUGAGGCCAGAGAUUACCUGAACUCAAGAAUUUU